RNAcentral lists this small nuclear RNA (100 nucleotides) under Propithecus coquereli (Coquerel's sifaka). Lineage: Eukaryota; Metazoa; Chordata; Mammalia; Primates; Indriidae. The record is from RNAcentral.
GUGCUUCAACAGCACAUAUACAAAAAUUGGAAUGAUACAUGAAAGAUUAGCAUGGCCCCUGUGCAAGGAUUACAUGCAAAUUCAUGUUUAAAAAAUAAAU